RNAcentral lists this long non-coding RNA (603 nucleotides) under Malus domestica (apple). Its description in RNAcentral is "long non-coding RNA (MDOM_LNC006244)". Lineage: Eukaryota; Viridiplantae; Streptophyta; Magnoliopsida; Rosales; Rosaceae. The record is from RNAcentral.
CGGAAGUUACGCUAUGUGUUGCAGGGUUCUUUGUUGUUCAGUCCCCCUCCCCAUAACUCUAUACUACGCCACAUCUAUUUUUUCUAAGGAAAAAGCGGGUUCUGAGUUUUCCUUCUUUCGUUGAAGACUUGCCAUGCCUCUUAUUUUUUGUGCAUUGUUUCCAAGUUCUUGUUUCAUUCAUUUUAGAGUGGUCUUUAAAGUGACAAAAAAUGACGAGCCUUAAGGGUGCGUUUGGUACGUGGGACGGGACGGGACGGAACGGGACGAGGCGUUCCGUCCCGCGUUUGGUGCGCCAAAAAUGGGUGGAACGGGCUGUUCCACGGGACAGAUUUUGAGUGUUUUUGCGUUCCACCUCCCCCCUUGUUCCACGUUUGUGGAACGGGUUUGUUCCACGUUUGUGGAACGCAAUGUUUUACCAUUUUAAGACAAAUAUACCCCAUGUCUUUUUCAAAAAUUACACCUUCGUUCCGUCCCGUCCCGUCACGUCCCGUUCCGUUCCGUUCCGUCUGCGUACCAAACGCACCCUUAUGUAAUGCCGGGGAAAUAUGUUUUUAGAUUAGUGUCGUAUUACUGCCAUAAUACUUUGCUUACAUGAUUAUUUAA